RNAcentral lists this ribosomal RNA (242 nucleotides) under uncultured bacterium. RNAcentral describes it as "partial 16S ribosomal RNA". It matches the Rfam family "Bacterial small subunit ribosomal RNA", at positions 14 to 252 of the family's 1533-position model. The record is from RNAcentral.
GUAUCAUGGCUCAGAUUGAACGCUGGCGGCAGGCCUAACACAUGCAAGUCGAACGGUAACAGAAAGCAGCUUGCUGCUUUGCUGACGAGUGGCGGACGGGUGAGUAAUGUCUGGGAAACUGCCCGAUGGAGGGGGAUAACUACUGGAAACGGUAGCUAAUACCGCAUAACGUCGCAAGACCAAAGAGGGGGACCUUAGGGCCUCUUGCCAUUGGAUGUGCCCAGAUGGGAUUAGCUAGUAGG